GUGACCUCAAAUCAGGUAGGACUACCCGCUGAACUUAAGCAUAUCAAUAAGCGGAGGAAAAGAAACUAACAAGGAUUCCCCUAGUAACUGCGAGUGAAGCGGGAAAAGCUCAAAUUUAAAAUCUGGCAGUCUUUGGCUGUCCGAGUUGUAAUCUAGAGAAGUGUUAUCCGCGCUGGACCGUGUACAAGUCUCCUGGAAUGGAGCGUCAUAGAGGGUGAGAAUCCCGUCUUUGACACGGACUACCAGGGCUUUGUGAUGCGCUCUCAAAGAGUCGAGUUGUUUGGGAAUGCAGCUCAAAAUGGGUGGUAAAUUCCAUCUAAAGCUAAAUAUUGGCGAGAGACCGAUAGCGAACAAGUACCGUGAGGGAAAGAUGAAAAGAACUUUGGAAAGAGAGUUAAACAGUACGUGAAAUUGCUGAAAGGGAAACGCUUGAAGUCAGUCGCGUCGUCCAGGGAUCAACCUUGCUUUUGCUUGGUGCACUUUCUGGUUGACGGGUCAGCAUCAAUUUUGACCAUUGGAAAAAGAUUAAGGGAAUGUGACAUCUUUGGAUGUGUUAUAGCCCUURGUUGUAUACGAUGGUUGGGAUUGAGGAACUCAGCACGCCGCAAGGCCG
RNAcentral lists this ribosomal RNA (613 nucleotides) under Cortinarius aurantiobasis. RNAcentral describes it as "eukaryotic LSU rRNA". It matches the Rfam family "Eukaryotic large subunit ribosomal RNA", at positions 1 to 615 of the family's 3401-position model. Lineage: Eukaryota; Fungi; Basidiomycota; Agaricomycetes; Agaricales; Cortinariaceae. The record is from RNAcentral.